AACAACAGCAGCAUACACGGUUAAAACAUAUUAAUAAUAACGUUACAGAAGACGUCCAUGUACUUGUGACACCAAGACCUCACGGACGACUCUACAUCUGGAAAACUGUCUCAGUUGCAUUAUGGAGGAGAGACAGGCAUCUUCUCAUGCCCAAGAUUAUCCGACUCACCCGCUGGUCCCCUCCCUCUCGGCGGGGAUCGAGCUUCUUGGUGAAGUGCCUCAGGUUGUCAUAGUUGUGGAAGUUGAACAAGGACACCAGAUCCUACAGCCGGAGAGAAAGCCAC
Molecule: long non-coding RNA, 284 nt
Organism: Carassius auratus (goldfish)
Lineage: Eukaryota; Metazoa; Chordata; Actinopteri; Cypriniformes; Cyprinidae
Exons: 3
Source: RefSeq, a predicted model, not a curated record